Molecule: transfer RNA, 70 nt
Filed under: Benthosema fibulatum (spinycheek lanternfish)
Lineage: Eukaryota; Metazoa; Chordata; Actinopteri; Myctophiformes; Myctophidae
Description: tRNA-Ile
Rfam family: tRNA
About the family: Transfer RNA (tRNA) molecules are approximately 80 nucleotides in length. Their secondary structure includes four short double-helical elements and three loops (D, anti-codon, and T loops). Further hydrogen bonds mediate the characteristic L-shaped molecular structure. tRNAs have two regions of fundamental functional importance: the anti-codon, which is responsible for specific mRNA codon recognition, and the 3' end, to which the tRNAs corresponding amino acid is attached (by aminoacyl-tRNA synthetases). tRNAs cope with the degeneracy of the genetic code in two manners: having more than one tRNA (with a specific anti-codon) for a particular amino acid; and 'wobble' base-pairing, i.e. permitting non-standard base-pairing at the 3rd anti-codon position.
Source: RNAcentral
GGAUUUGUGCCUGAACCAUAGGAUUACCUUGAUAGGGUAAAUCAUGGGGGUUAAAGUCCCCUCAAAUCCU